UACGUAGGUGGCAAGCGUUGUCCGGAUUUAUUGGGCGUAAAGCGAGCGCAGGCGGUUCUUUAAGUCUGAUGUGAAAGCCCCCGGCUCAACCGGGGAGGGUCAUUGGAAACUGGAGAACUUGAGUGCAGAAGAGGAGAGUGGAAUUCCACGUGUAGCGGUGAAAUGCGUAGAUAUGUGGAGGAACACCAGUGGCGAAGGCGACUCUCUGGUCUGUAACUGACGCUGAGGAGCGAAAGCGUGGGGAGCGAACAGG
Molecule: ribosomal RNA, 253 nt
Filed under: uncultured microorganism
Description: partial 16S ribosomal RNA
Rfam family: Bacterial small subunit ribosomal RNA
Source: RNAcentral